Molecule: unclassified non-coding RNA, 467 nt
Filed under: Hevea brasiliensis (rubber tree)
Lineage: Eukaryota; Viridiplantae; Streptophyta; Magnoliopsida; Malpighiales; Euphorbiaceae
Source: RNAcentral
UGCAAUACCGAAAUGAAGUUCCUUAUGCAUGCCAGGUUAAUGUAGUUAGUUACAAGACUAGACCGAAUGCGAAAGACUUCAUUCAAGUCGAAGUUAUAGUGGAGAGAAACACUCAAAAGAUCAUCCUUAUUGGAAAGGAAGGGAAGGCUUUAAAGCUUCUUGCCACAGCUGCAAGGCUUGACAUAGAAGAUUUCCUACAAAAGAAAGUUUUUCUGGAGGUUGAGGUGAAGGUGAAAGAGAAUUGGAGGCAAGAUGAAGGUCUCCUGAAGGACUACGGCUACGGGGGCCAUAUUCAAGCUUUGUGAUUUGGAAACUCUGUUUUGAACUCUUAAUGGAUGGAAUGUGAAUGAUGAUCAGUAGCUCUUGAUGCUCUCCAUGAUGAACUAGCUGUAAUUUCUAUAAAUGUUUCCCAAAGUACAGCAGGCUAAUUAAGCAGACGGGAUUUUGUGAAAGUUCUUGAUGUCAGG